UCUCCCAAGGCUAAAUACUCCCUAGUGACCGAUAGUGAACCAGUACCGUGAGGGAAAGGUGAAAAGCACCCCGGAAGGGGAGUGAAACAGUUCCUGAAACCGUGUGCCUACAAGUAGUUAGAGCCCGUUAAUGGGUGAUAGCGUGCCUUUUGUAGAAUGAACCGGCGAGUUACGAUUUGUUGCAAGGUUAAGCGGAAAAAGCGGAGCCGUAGCGAAAGCGAGUCUGAAUAGGGCGCAUAAGUAACAGGUCGUAGACCCGAAACCAGGUGAUCUACCCAUGUCCAGGAUGAAGGUAAGGUAAUACUUACUGGAGGUCCGAACCCACGCACGUUGAAAAGUGCGGGGAUGAGGUGUGGGUAGCGGAGAAAUUCCAAUCGAACUUGGAGAUAGCUGGUUCUCUCCGAAAUAGCUUUAGGGCUAGCCUCGAGGUAAAGAGUCAUGGAGGUAGAGCACUGUUUGGACUAGGGGCCCUUCUCGGGUUACCGAAUUCAGAUAAACUCCGAAUGCCAUGUACUUAUACUCGGGAGUCAGACUGCGAGUGAUAAGAUCCGUAGUCGAAAGGGAAACAGCCCAGACCACCAGUUAAGGUCCCCAAAUAUAUGUUAAGUGGAAAAGGAUGUGGGGUUGCUUAGACAACCAGGAUGUUGGCUUAGAAGCAGCCACCAUUGAAAGAGUGCGUAAUAGCUCACUGGUCGAGUGACCCCGCGCCGAAAAUGUACCGGGGCUAAACAUAUUACCGAAACUGUGGAUGAACCUCUUUAGAGGUUCGUGGUAGGAGAGCGUUCUAAGGGCGGUGAAGUCAGACCGGAAGGACUGGUGGAGCGCUUAGAAGUGAGAAUGCCGGUAUGAGUAGCGAAAGAAGGGUGAGAAUCCCUUCCACCGAAUAUCUAAGGUUUCCUGAGGAAGGCUCGUCCGCUCAGGGUUAGUCGGGACCUAAGCCGAGGCCGAUAGGCGUAGGCGAUGGACAACAGGUAGAGAUUCCUGUACCAGUGCUAAUUGUUUAACCGAUGGGGUGACACAGAAGGAUAGGGAAUCGCACGAAUGGAAAUGUGCGUCCAAGCAGUGAGUGUGAGAAGUAGGCAAAUCCGCUUCUCGCGAAGCAUGAGCUGUGAUGGGGAAGGAAAUUAAGUACGGAAGUUCCUGAUUUCACGCUGUCAAGAAAAGCCUCUAGGAAGAGUAGUACUGCCCGUACCGCAAACCGACACAGGUAGAUGAGGAGAGAAUCCUAAGGUGAGCGAGAGAACUCUCGUUAAGGAACUCGGCAAAAUGACCCCGUAACUUCGGGAGAAGGGGUGCUCUAUUAGGGUGCAAGCCCGAGAGAGCCGCAGUGAAUAGGCCCAGGCGACUGUUUAGCAAAAACACAGGUCUCUGCAAAACCGUAAGGUGACGUAUAGGGGCUGACGCCUGCCCGGUGCUGGAAGGUUAAGAGGAGUGCUUAGCUUCGGCGAAGGUACGAAUUGAAGCCCCAGUAAACGGCGGCCGUAACUAUAACGGUCCUAAGGUAGCGAAAUUCCUUGUCGGGUAAGUUCCGACCCGCACGAAAGGCGCAACGAUCUGGGCACUGUCUCAACGAGAGACUCGGUGAAAUUAUAGUACCUGUGAAGAUGCAGGUUACCCGCGACAGGACGGAAAGACCCCGUGGAGCUUUACUGCAACCUGAUAUGGAAUGUUUGUACCGCUUGUACAGGAUAGGUAGGAGCCGAAGAGACGUGUGCGCUAGCAUACGAGGAGGCAAUGGUGGGAUACUACCCUGGCUGUAUGACCAUUCUAACCCGCCACGCUUAGCGCGUGGGGAGACAGUGUCAGGUGGGCAGUUUGACUGGGGCGGUCGCCUCCUAAAGAGUAACGGAGGCGCCCAAAGGUUCCCUCAGAAUGGAUGGAAAUCAUUCGCAGAGUGUAAAGGCACAAGGGAGCUUGACUGCGAGACUGACAAGUCGAGCAGGGACGAAAGUCGGGCUUAGUGAUCCGGUGGUUCCGCAUGGAAGGGCCAUCGCUCAACGGAUAAAAGCUACCCCGGGGAUAACAGGCUUAUCUCCCCCAAGAGUCCACAUCGACGGGGAGGUUUGGCACCUCGAUGUCGGCUCGUCGCAUCCUGGGGCUGUAGUCGGUCCCAAGGGUUGGGCUGUUCGCCCAUUAAAGCGGCACGCGAGCUGGGUUCAGAACGUCGUGAGACAGUUCGGUCCCUAUCCGUCGCGGGCGCAGGAAAUUUGAGAGGAGCUGUCCUUAGUACGAGAGGACCGGGAUGGACACACCGCUGGUGUACCAGUUGUUCCGCCAGGAGCAUCGCUGGGUAGCUAUGUGUGGCAGGGAUAAACGCUGAAAGCAUCUAAGCGUGAAGCCCCCCUCAAGAUGAGAUUUCCCAUUUCUUCGGAAAGUAAGAUCCCUGAAAGAUGAUCAGGUAGAUAGGU
Molecule: ribosomal RNA, 2408 nt
Filed under: Listeria monocytogenes
Lineage: Bacteria; Bacillati; Bacillota; Bacilli; Caryophanales; Listeriaceae
Description: partial 23S ribosomal RNA
Rfam family: Bacterial large subunit ribosomal RNA
Source: RNAcentral